Molecule: long non-coding RNA, 413 nt
Organism: Ananas comosus (pineapple)
Lineage: Eukaryota; Viridiplantae; Streptophyta; Magnoliopsida; Poales; Bromeliaceae
Exons: 3
Source: RefSeq, a predicted model, not a curated record
UAAACUCGUUGGCAAAGUCGGUUCGGCAAUCCGUCGAGCCUACGCAAAGAUAGCGCCAAAAGGACAAUUUCGGCUACGAUUGUCGCGAGCGCGGAUCGCGGUUCUCGGGAAAGUGCAGGAAGUGGAUUUCUCGCGUUCAGGUAUCAGAUAAAGGUCGGCGACGCGCUAAUUACGGUAGAGACCGUUCUAGUUCUAUUUGCACUGAGUCGCGAGAGCUAGUUGUCGACGCAUUCCGAGACGUGAGAUCCUAGUUGUGGACACCACUACAGGUUCCAGUGUGAGCGUUGUGGCCGAGGAUCGAAGCAAGAGCCCAGCAUCCUAGCUAGCUGACACCAGAGUUAUAGUUGUUUAACAUUUUGAGUUCAUGUAUCAUCUAUUUUGAUGUACUGAGACAUGUAAAUGAAUGUAUAUAA